GAUCCGGCUCAGGACGAACGCUGGCGGCGUGCUUAACACAUGCAAGUCGAACGAGAAUCUACUGAAAGAGUUUUCGGACAAUGGAUGUAGAGGAAAGUGGCGGACGGGUGAGUAACGCGUGAGGAACCUGCCUUGAAGAGGGGGACAACAGUUGGAAACGACUGCUAAUACCGCAUGACGCAUAGGGGUCGCAUGAUCUUUAUGCCAAAGAUUUAUCGCUUCAAGAUGGCCUCGCGU
This 237-nucleotide ribosomal RNA is filed under the name uncultured bacterium. RNAcentral describes it as "partial 16S ribosomal RNA". It matches the Rfam family "Bacterial small subunit ribosomal RNA", at positions 15 to 236 of the family's 1533-position model. The record is from RNAcentral.